Molecule: long non-coding RNA, 753 nt
Filed under: Homo sapiens (human)
Lineage: Eukaryota; Metazoa; Chordata; Mammalia; Primates; Hominidae
Description: HSALNT0405111
Source: RNAcentral
CUGAGUCAGCUCAUAGGAGGCCACGGAUCCUACAGGAGAGAAAACGGGAGAGAAAAGGCUUGAAACUGAGGAGCUGAACUCCAAGUAGUAUGAUGUCCUGCCCAUGUGGCCAUUCCUUGUCCUGCGUGGAGAUGGCCAGGGACUGACUUACAAUGGCGACUGAGGGAUUAUUCUGAGAUCUAAGGUCCCUGAUUCCCUGGUCUGCAGACUGCUGGUGCCAAUGGAGGAAAUUUUUCUCUUCUCUUUGUGACUCAUGCCUGCCUCAAUACCAGGACCAGCGUACAGUGGUGACUCCUGCACCAAAGUCAGAGACAGAAGAACAUCCACCCAUCAAAUGUUAAUCCAGACCCACUGUGGUCUGGGACACGUUCCAUGCGGUGAAUUCAGCAGGAACAAGACACAGCCUUCUUGAAAUACAGGACCUAGGAACACAAAAUCUGCAAACUGCACUUAACACAAAAGGGAAGGGGCUGAGAUGGGGAGGAACAAUUCCAAGGUCACUUGGCAAGGAGAGAGAAAAGGAAGACGAGAAAUGCUCUGGACCUGUAACAGUAAGUCUUCUGAGUGUCCUGGGACCAGCCUGCCAGGGAGGGCAUGGGAAAAUCCUCAGCCCAAAUUCUCAGCCCAAAUCCCUCCCUAUGGAGACGGCAUCUCAGUCAGCUCUUUUAGCUGCCUGUAGGGGGCGCGCCUGCCACACUCUGGGUUGAAAGGGAGAGAAAAGACGGUUGAUUCCCAGCUCAGGAACCAAGCUGU